RNAcentral lists this ribosomal RNA (481 nucleotides) under uncultured bacterium. RNAcentral describes it as "partial 16S ribosomal RNA". It matches the Rfam family "Bacterial small subunit ribosomal RNA", at positions 28 to 507 of the family's 1533-position model. The record is from RNAcentral.
GAUGAACGCUGGCGGCGUGCUUAACACAUGCAAGUCGAACGAAGCACUUUAUUUGAUUUCCUUCGGGACUGAUUAUUUUGUGACUGAGUGGCGGACGGGUGAGUAACGCGUGGGUAACCUGCCUUGUACAGGGGGAUAACAGUUGGAAACGGCUGCUAAUACCGCAUAAGCGCCCAGCAUCGCAUGAUGCAGUGUGAAAAACUCCGGUGGUAUAAGAUGGACCGGCGUUGGAUUAGCUAGUUGGUGAGGUAACGGCCCACCAAGGCGACGAUCCAUAGCCGAGCUGAGAGGGUGACCCGCCACAUUGGGACUGAGACACGGCCCAAACUCCUACGGAAAGCAGCAGUGGGGAAUAUUGCACAAUGGGCGAAAGCCUGAUGCAGCGACGCCGCGUGAGCGAAGAAGUAUUUCGGUAUGUAAAGCUCUAUCAGCAGGGAAGAUAAUGACGGUACCUGACUAAGAAGCACCGGCUAAAUACGUG